UACGGGGGGGGCAAGCGCUGUUCGGAAUUACUGGGCGUAAAGCGUGCGCAGGCGGUUUCGUAAGUCUGUCGUGAAAUCCCCGGGCUUAACCUGGGAAUGGCGAUGGAGACUGCGAGGCUAGAGUUUGGCAGAGGGGGGUAGAAUUCCACGUGUAGCAGUGAAAUGCGUAGAGAUGUGGAGGAACACCGAUGGCGAAGGCAGCCCCCUGGGUCAAAACUGACGCUCAUGCACGAAAGCGUGGGGAGCAAACAGG
Molecule: ribosomal RNA, 253 nt
Filed under: uncultured bacterium
Lineage: Bacteria
Description: partial 16S ribosomal RNA
Rfam family: Bacterial small subunit ribosomal RNA
Source: RNAcentral